RNAcentral lists this ribosomal RNA (492 nucleotides) under uncultured bacterium. Its description in RNAcentral is "partial 16S ribosomal RNA". It matches the Rfam family "Bacterial small subunit ribosomal RNA", at positions 28 to 507 of the family's 1533-position model. The record is from RNAcentral.
GAUGGACGCUCGCUACAGGCUUAACACAUGCAAGUCGAGGGGAAACGGCAUCGAAAGCUUGCUUUUGAUGGGCGUCGACCGGCGCACGGGUGAGUAACGCGUAUCCAACCUGCCCAUCACUUGGGAAUAACCUUGCGAAAGUAAGACUAAUGCCCAAUGACAUCCCACGAAGGCAUCCGAAUGGGAUUAAAGAUUUAUCGGUGAUGGAUGGGGAUGCGUCUGAUUAGCUUGUUGGCGGGGUGACGGCCCACCAAGGCAACGAUCAGUAGGGGUUCUGAGAGGAAGGUCCCCCACAUUGGAACUGAGACACGGUCCAAACUCCUACGGGAGGCAGCAGUGAGGAAUAUUGGUCAAUGGGCGAGAGCCUGAACCAGCCAAGUAGCGUGCAGGAUGACGGCCCUAUGGGUUGUAAACUGCUUUUAUAAGGGAAUAAAGUGGGUCACGUGUGACUUUUUGCAUGUACCUUAUGAAUAAGGACCGGCUAAUUCCGUG